GAAAUGCGAUACUUGGUGUGAAUUGCAGAAUCCCGUGAACCAUCGAGUCUUUGAACGCAAGUUGCGCCCGAGGCUUUUGGCCGAGGGCACGUCUGCCUGGGCGUCACGCAUCGCAACCCCCCCAACCACUACGGUAGUUGAGGGAGGAGGAUGGUUUCCCGUGCCUCACCGGGCGCGGUUGGCCUAAAUAAGGAGCCUAAGGCAUCGGUUUGCCGCGGCGAUAGGUGGAGAACAAGGCCUCGGCCGUGGAAUCAACCGGUCGCGCAUCCCUUUGAAUGUAGAGCUCGCAGGACCCAUUGUUGUCGCCUUGUUGCGUCACAAACGUUGCGACCCCAGGUCAGGCGGGGCUACCCGCUGAAUUUAA
This 364-nucleotide ribosomal RNA is filed under the name Stellaria sp. SJ-2014. RNAcentral describes it as "eukaryotic LSU rRNA". The stretch from base 1 to 106 matches the Rfam family "5.8S ribosomal RNA", at positions 50 to 154 of the family's 154-position model. Lineage: Eukaryota; Viridiplantae; Streptophyta; Magnoliopsida; Caryophyllales; Caryophyllaceae. The record is from RNAcentral.